RNAcentral lists this ribosomal RNA (681 nucleotides) under Campylobacter coli. Its description in RNAcentral is "bacterial LSU rRNA". It matches the Rfam family "Bacterial large subunit ribosomal RNA", at positions 1936 to 2616 of the family's 2925-position model. Lineage: Bacteria; Pseudomonadati; Campylobacterota; Epsilonproteobacteria; Campylobacterales; Campylobacteraceae. The record is from RNAcentral.
GUAACUAUAACGGUCCUAAGGUAGCGAAAUUCCUUGUCGGUUAAAUACCGACCUGCAUGAAUGGCGUAACGAGAUGGGAGCUGUCUCAAAGAGGGAUCCAGUGAAAUUGUAGUGGAGGUGAAAAUUCCUCCUACCCGCGGCAAGACGGAGAGACCCCGUGGACCUUUACUAUAGCUUGACACUGCUAUUUGGAUAAAGAUGUGCAGGAUAGGUGGGAGGCUUUGAAGCUAGGACGCCAGUUCUAGCAGAGCCAUUGUUGAGAUACCACUCUUCUUUAUUUGGGUAGCUAACUAGCCUAAGUUAUCCUUAGGUAGGACAAUGUCUGGUGGGUAGUUUGACUGGGGCGGUCGCCUCCCAAAUAAUAACGGAGGCUUACAAAGGUUGGCUCAGAACGGUUGGAAAUCGUUCGUAGAGUAUAAAGGUAUAAGCCAGCUUAACUGCAAGACAUACAAGUCAAGCAGAGACGAAAGUCGGUCUUAGUGAUCCGGUGGUUCUGUGUGGAAGGGCCAUCGCUCAAAGGAUAAAAGGUACCCCGGGGAUAACAGGCUGAUCUCCCCCAAGAGCUCACAUCGACGGGGAGGUUUGGCACCUCGAUGUCGGCUCAUCGCAUCCUGGGGCUGGAGCAGGUCCCAAGGGUAUGGCUGUUCGCCAUUUAAAGCGGUACGCGAGCUGGGUUCAGAA